CUCUAUCUCAAACCUUCUGAGCUGCCUGCUGCUGAUCUUGGCAUUAAAAACAGAGUGGCAUUCCCCCAAAGCUUAUGAGGAAGAGAUGCAGAGAUGCAUUUCCCUGGGACCUGAGCAGCUCCUUACUGACCUCUUACAGAUGAGGUGUGUUUCUUGAAGACAACAUACAGGAAGGGAGAAUCACAGUACCCUGGAAUCAAGGACACUCGAGAUUGAAG
Fukomys damarensis (Damara mole-rat) is the source of this 218-nucleotide long non-coding RNA. RefSeq lists it as uncharacterized. The transcript is spliced from 4 exons. The record is from RefSeq and is a predicted model, not a curated record. Lineage: Eukaryota; Metazoa; Chordata; Mammalia; Rodentia; Bathyergidae.